AAAGAUUAAGCCAUGCAUGUGUCAGUACAAGCUAAACUAAAGUGAAACCGCGAAUGGCUCAUUAAAUCAGCUAUGAUUCAUUGGAUCUGUACACCCAGUUUUCCUUGGAUAACUGUGGUAAUUCUAGAGCUAAUACAUGCACAUAUAGUCCCUAACCUCACGGGAAGGGCGCUUUUAUUAGAAUCAAAACCGGUCGGGCUUCGGUCUGUAAAACCAGUUGUGAUGACUCUGGAUAAUUUAAGCUGAGCGCACGGUCUUUGCACUGGCGCCGCUUCUUUCAAGUGUCUGCCUUAUCAGCUUUCGAUUGUAGGUUAUGCGCCUACAAUGGCUAUAACGGGUAACGGGGAAUCAGGGUUCGAUUCCGGAGAGGGAGCCUGAGAAACGGCUACCACAUCCAAGGAAGGCAGCAGGCACGCAAAUUACCCACUCCCAGCCUGGGGAGGUAGUGACGAAAAAUAACGAUGCGAGACUCAUCCGAGGCCUCGCAAUCGGAAUGAGUACACUUUAAAUCCUUUAACGAGGAUCAAUUGGAGGGCAAGUCUGGUGCCAGCAGCCGCGGUAAUUCCAGCUCCAAUAGCGUAUAUUAAAGUUGUUGCGGUUAAAAAGCUCGUAGUUGGAUUUCAGGAUUGGACUGAAGGUUCGCCGUGAGGCGUUUAAAACCUAUCACGCUCCGAAAUCAGCUAUCACAACAACUUUGUGUAUGCCCACACUAGCUCGCACGGGGUGCUCUUAAUUGAGUGUCCCGAGUGGCUGGUAUGUUUACUUUGAAAAAAUUAGAGUGCUCAGAGCAGGCCAACUGAAUGGCCUGAAUGUCUAUGCAUGGAAUAAUGUAAAAGGACCUCGGUUCUAUUUUAGCCGGGCUUUUUGUGGAACCCGAGGUAAUGGCUAAUAGAGACAAAUGGGGGCAUUAGUACUGCGACGCUAGAGGUGAAAUUCUUGGACCGUCGCAAGACUAACUACAGCGAAAGCAUUGCCAAGGAUGUUUUCAUUAAUCAAGAACGAA
This 1003-nucleotide ribosomal RNA is filed under the name Trapezionida ocellata. RNAcentral's name for it is "SSU rRNA". It matches the Rfam family "Eukaryotic small subunit ribosomal RNA", at positions 39 to 987 of the family's 1831-position model. The record is from RNAcentral. Lineage: Eukaryota; Metazoa; Arthropoda; Malacostraca; Decapoda; Munididae.